UUUGAAUAUUCAACAUUCUUUAUUGUAAUCUUUUUAAACUGAUUGAAAGAAAGUCAUGUGAAUACGAUAAUACAGUGAAUUCUUUUGUUUCAUGUCAUAACUUGGUUCGGCAAUUGGUGGAUUGCAAGCGGGGAAGAAAAUGGCGCGGGAUGAGCCGUAGCCGUGUAAAGUGACGACAUCAUGGCAGCGCGUUGUAUACCAGCCGGACUUGCUGCGCUGGUGCUGUUGAAGACCUAAACCAUGUCACAAGACCAGUGGUUGAUCUUUUAUCGGAAAUUCUUAUAAGUCCCGGUGAGUCGUAUCUGUUUUACCUGAUUUGAAAGAUGGGAAGUUUUAAUAGGAUACAAACGAAUAUAGUGCAGAAAGUUCUCUUUUGUUAACUUUAGUUAAAUUAGAAAUCGUAAUGAAGUGAAGUAAACAUUGCGAAGUAAAAUGAUUUGGAUUAUGAUUAAGUGAAAUAGACUUGAAAAAAAUGCCUCGAAGCGAAUUGCCUUCUGAGUUAAAUCUUACUGAUUUAGAGAGUGAAUAAGAUGUUACACGGCACACAUACUUUGGUAUUGUUAUUUUCUCUUUUGUUGUUGUGCUGCAUUUCCAGCGUAGUCGUAACUGCAGUCCCGUUAGAGGCUGUUCAGGGCGCGGUGUGCGACUGGAGGUGUGGUGAUUGUUUAGGUCCAUGGGGACCUGGUUUUAGUGGUAUAUGAUUACCUUGUUGAGUUGACCAAUGAUGGUCUGUUAUGAAAGUGGCAAAUGGUUGCCAAUGUUGACUUAUAACCGAGUAUUUAUGUGCCCUUGUAUGUGUGUGUAUAAUGAACAGUCUAAGAUACUUUUGUUUUUUUUUAUCAUUAGUUGUUGAUUGAGGCAUUCUUUCAAAUUGUUUACUCUGUGUGGUGAUGCACUCUGGAAAUCCACUUGAUGGAUAUGCGUACUGAAGUCUUAUGUAGAGUCACAAGUAGAGCUCAUGUAGAGUCACAAGUAGAGCUCAUGUAGAGUCACAAGUAGAGCUCAUGUAGAGUCACAAGUAGAGCUCAUGUAGAGUCACAAGUAGAGCUCAUGUAGAGUCACAAGUAGAGCUCAUGUAGAGUCACAAGUAGAGCUCAUGUAGAGUCACAAGUAGAGCUCAUGUAGAGUCACAAGUAGAGCUCAUGUAGAGUCACAAGUAGAGCUCAUGUAGAGUCACAAAUAGAGCUCGGACGAGUCCUUUAUAGAGUCUCAUGUCAGGUCAGGAAUGACCGAGCGAACUUGGAUACUGUGCUGUGGUAUAUUGUUUCAGAUUAACACACGAGGACGUGUGUCACGCAGGAUGGCCGUGUCGGAGUUGGUUAUGAAUAAAGAAGAGAAAUUGAUCAAAUCGGAAAAUAAAAUGAAGUUACAUCACUUCCGUCAUGAAGUUGCAUCGCUCCGACGGCAGGUGGCGUACGGCCAGAUCUGAGUGAAGUCGACGGAGUCACUACAGAGUCGUCGUGUCGAGCGGACGUGCACUGCCGUUCUAGUCGGGCAGUCUACCGCGAACCAUCGUCAUGAGCGGACGUGUCGAAUAAUUACGAGGAGUGCUAUAGUCGCUCACCUAUAACUUGUAGGGACGUCAAGAAAGUGUGAUCGGAAAAGAGUACCUAGCAAGUACGUUCACAUGUCCCGAUGAUUCGGUCCGAAUAUAGGAACCAUGGGUGGUGGAGGGCAAGUAGAGGGCGAGUAGCCCCUUCGCGCUAACGUCCUUAUGCGCGCUAGAUAACGAGAGACUGUGUAACCAUUACGAAUACCGUGACGUUGCCGUGAGUGUGUAUCUUAUUUUGUGACUUUAUCUAAUCGUGAUACAAGAACUAUGUGGAAGUAAAUAAAAUGAUUGUGAUACUAUU
RNAcentral lists this long non-coding RNA (1853 nucleotides) under Pectinophora gossypiella (pink bollworm). RNAcentral's name for it is "uncharacterized LOC126372392". The record is from RNAcentral. Lineage: Eukaryota; Metazoa; Arthropoda; Insecta; Lepidoptera; Gelechiidae.